This 420-nucleotide ribosomal RNA is filed under the name Anophryoides haemophila. Its description in RNAcentral is "partial Bacterial small subunit ribosomal RNA". The record is from RNAcentral. Lineage: Eukaryota; Ciliophora; Oligohymenophorea; Philasterida; Glauconematidae.
ACGCUCGCACCCUCUGUAUUACCGCGGCUGCUGGCACAGAGUUAGCCGGUGCUUAUUCUGCGAGUAACGUCCACUAUCCUAGAGUAUUAAUCCAAGUAGCCUCCUCCUCGCUUAAAGUGCUUUACAACCAAAAGGCCUUCUUCACACACGCGGCAUGGCUGGAUCAGGGUUCCCCCCAUUGUCCAAUAUUCCCCACUGCUGCCUCCCGUAGGAGUCUGGGCCGUGUCUCAGUCCCAGUGUGGCGGAUCAUCCUCUCAGACCCGCUACAGAUCGUCGCCUUGGUAGGCCUUUACCCCACCAACUAGCUAAUCUGACUUAGGCUCAUCUAUUAGCGCAAGGUCCGAAGAUCCCCUGCUUUCCCCCGUAGGGCGUAUGCGGUAUUAGCAUUCCUUUCGGAAUGUUGUCCCCCACUAAUAGGCA